RNAcentral lists this ribosomal RNA (215 nucleotides) under uncultured Phyllobacterium sp. RNAcentral describes it as "partial 16S ribosomal RNA". It matches the Rfam family "Bacterial small subunit ribosomal RNA", at positions 29 to 273 of the family's 1533-position model. Lineage: Bacteria; Pseudomonadati; Pseudomonadota; Alphaproteobacteria; Hyphomicrobiales; Phyllobacteriaceae. The record is from RNAcentral.
AACGAACGCUGGCGGCAGGCUUAACACAUGCAAGUCGAGCGCGUAGCAAUACGAGCGGCAGACGGGUGAGUAACGCGUGGGAAUCUACCCCUUACUACGGAAUAACGCAGGGAAACUUGUGCUAAUACCGUAUGUGGCCGAGAGGCGAAAGAUUUAUCGGUAAGGGAUGAGCCCGCGUUGGAUUAGCUAGUUGGUGGGGUAAAGGCCUACCAAGG